GGAUGUGAGGGCAACCUGGCGGCGACAUCUGUCACCCUAUUGAGUUCUAGGGUUGAUUCAAUUGAUCUGGCUAGCUAGGUGGGUGCCCCCUUCCUCCCUCAAUGCUCCAUGUGCAUCCCUUCCAAAGCUAUGGGAUUGGUCGAAAAGGAUGACCGCCCCUGAUACAGGAGGAGCAUUUCUCGGUCAAGGGUAUACCAGUAGUUGUGCUCCCCUGCUAGAAGCUUCAAACAAGAUCUCAAGGAACCUUUUGUACAUUGAAAUAUGCUUUAACAUUAAUGUCUUAAAAACAGAAUAACACUUU
RNAcentral lists this small nuclear RNA (301 nucleotides) under Chinchilla lanigera (long-tailed chinchilla). RNAcentral describes it as "7SK RNA (ENSCLAG00000021565.1)". It matches the Rfam family "7SK RNA". From Rfam's summary of the family: 7SK was discovered as an abundant small nuclear RNA in the mid-70s but a possible function has only recently been suggested. The record is from Rfam by way of RNAcentral. Lineage: Eukaryota; Metazoa; Chordata; Mammalia; Rodentia; Chinchillidae.